GACGAACGCUGGCGGCGUGCUUAACACAUGCAAGUCGAACGGAAAGGCCUCUUUCGGGGGGUACUCUCGUGGCGCACGGGUGAGUAACACGUGAGUAUCCUCCCCUUUACUUUGUGAUAUCUUUUGGAAACUGUGGCUAAUACCCGAUAGAAGCUCCUGCUGCACGUUGGGGGUUUGAGAGUUUCUGGGGUUGGGGGUGGACUCGCGGGUUAUCAGCUUGUUGGGGGGGUGUUGGGUUAACAAGGGUUUGACGGGUAGCCGGGCUGGGAGGGUGACCGGCCAAAAUGGGACUGAGAUAAGGCCCAGACGCCGAAGGGAGGGAGCAGGGGGGAAGAAUGCAAAAUGGGGGGAAGCCUGAUGCAGCAACGCCGGGGGGGGGAUGAAGGGCUUCGGGUUGGAAACCGCUUUCGCUCAUGACGAAGCUGUGUGUGACGGUAGUGGGUAAAGAAGCACCGGCUAACUACGUG
Molecule: ribosomal RNA, 467 nt
Filed under: uncultured bacterium
Lineage: Bacteria
Description: partial 16S ribosomal RNA
Rfam family: Bacterial small subunit ribosomal RNA
Source: RNAcentral